This 252-nucleotide ribosomal RNA is filed under the name uncultured bacterium. RNAcentral's name for it is "partial 16S ribosomal RNA". It matches the Rfam family "Bacterial small subunit ribosomal RNA", at positions 524 to 776 of the family's 1533-position model. The record is from RNAcentral.
GACAGAGGAUGCAAGCGUUAUCCGGAAUGAUUGGGCGUAAAGCGUCUGUAGGUGGCUUUUUAAGUCCGCCGUCAAAUCCCAGGGCUCAACCCUGGACAGGCGGUGGAAACUACAAAGCUUGAGUACUUAAGAGGAUCGCGGAAUUCCUGGUGUAGCGGUGAAAUGCGCAGAUAUCAGGAGGAACACCGGUGGCGAAGGCGGUUCUCUGGGCAUUACCUGACGCUGAGGAGCGAAAGUGUGGGAGCGAACAGG